CGCUCUUCAGAGGCAAGACGGCUGCCGCCGCUGCUCUCCAACUCAUCAAACCCUGCACAGGCAGGUGACAGGUUGACAUCUAAGGUCUCCUGCGCAUUAUCAGCACAGGGAUGGAGAAACAAAAACAAGAGCCUGUCCUCGGUUUCCUCUGGCGAUCAGGCCCCCCACUUAGUGUAUUUGACAAGCUGAGUUGGACACUCUGUAUCAGUGAGUGUCAGUUUGUCAAAUACCCCAAGUGAGGUGUCACUUCUCAACAGACAGAGGUUACUGCACAGACAGAAUGGCCGCAACGCUGCGUGGAAAAGCGUUGAAGAACUGCCAGCAUGACUAGUUGUUUGAUGACACAGAUGUAUUUCUAGGCUUCCACUUUCAGCCUAGAAAUAAGUUGAAUUUUUUUUCGCAAAGUUCAUCUGACUUGCAUGCAUUUAUUUUGUGAAAUUCUCUCAUUUAUAAACUUACAGCAGAGCAACUAGGUUUUGGAAGAGGCCCAAAAGAGAGUAAAAUAGAAAUGCACUGUAAAUUACUGCUGUGUGAUUGUGUCUCUGUAACAUCAAAGGCAACAAAUAGAAAGGAUUUUUUUUUUUUUUUUAAAUGUUGUUAUAGUUGUUUCUUUUUGUUCUUUUUUGUUGUUGUUGUUGUUGUUUUGCAGAGGCGUGGUUGCAUGUGUGCCUACAGCUAAAGUAACUUAUAGUGAGAAGAGAAGCGCCCAGUGCCUCCCUGAGCCACAUGGUAUUUCUGCUGAUCUUUUUCAUUUCAGUGUGCACAUAUAAAAAGUCAAGAUGCAUCAAAUUCCUGUAAUAAAAGUGAAUGAUCAGCAAGCGCA
Molecule: long non-coding RNA, 823 nt
Organism: Xiphophorus maculatus (southern platyfish)
Lineage: Eukaryota; Metazoa; Chordata; Actinopteri; Cyprinodontiformes; Poeciliidae
Exons: 2
Source: RefSeq, a predicted model, not a curated record